GCCCUUCUUCUGCAGAAAGGGAGGAUUCUUGACAAGUUGAGCAAAGCAUCUUCAGAAGAAUUUUGGACAGAUUCCUGACUGUCAAGAUAACAUCAGGAAAGCUCUGGUGUCCAGGUCGCAGUCAGGCUGUUGCAGAGUGUCUGUUGGGAAGACCUGGAUAUGCAACUGGGCAGCCUGUUACAGACAAAGCUCUGACUGAAACAGAGAGAACCAGCACUAUGUAA
This 224-nucleotide long non-coding RNA is filed under the name Dromaius novaehollandiae (emu). RNAcentral describes it as "lncRNA (ENSDNVG00000011878.1)". The record is from RNAcentral. Lineage: Eukaryota; Metazoa; Chordata; Aves; Casuariiformes; Dromaiidae.